AAUGAACGUUGGCGACGUGCCUAACACAUGCAAGUCGAGCGAGAAAAUUCCUUCGGGGAUGAGUAAAGCGGCGGACGGGUGAGUAAUGCGUGAGAAUCUGCCUUUUAGUGAAGGAUACCCUCGAGAAAUUGAGGUUAAUACUGCAUACGUCUCGAAAGAGAGAAAGAUGGCCUUGUUGCUGUCGCUAAAAGAUGAGCUUGCGUUCUAUUAGCUUGUUGGUGAGGUAAAGGCCUACCAAGGCGAUGAUGGAUAGCCGGCCUGAGAGGGUGAACGGCCACACUGGAACUUAGACACGGUCCAGACUCCUACGGGAGGCAGCAGUGAGGAAUAUUGCACAAUGGGCGAAAGCCUGAUGCAGCGACGUCGCGUGGAGGAUGAAGGUUUUCGGAUCGUAAACUCCUGUUAAGUGGGAAGAAAGACUUGUUUUUAAUAGAAACGAGGGAUGACGGUACCACUAGAGAAAGCACCGGCUAACUUCGUG
This 481-nucleotide ribosomal RNA is filed under the name uncultured bacterium. RNAcentral's name for it is "bacterial SSU rRNA". It matches the Rfam family "Bacterial small subunit ribosomal RNA", at positions 29 to 507 of the family's 1533-position model. The record is from RNAcentral.